This 495-nucleotide ribosomal RNA is filed under the name uncultured bacterium. RNAcentral describes it as "partial 16S ribosomal RNA". It matches the Rfam family "Bacterial small subunit ribosomal RNA", at positions 28 to 507 of the family's 1533-position model. The record is from RNAcentral.
GACGAACGCUGGCGGCGUGCCUAAUACAUGCAAGUAGAACGCUGAAGGAGGAGCUUGCUCUUCUGGAUGAGUUGCGAACGGGUGAGUAACGCGUAGGUAACCUGCCUGGUAGCGGGGGAUAACUAUUGGAAACGAUAGCUAAUACCGCAUAACAGUAGAUGUUGCAUGACAUUUGCUUAAAAGGUGCAAUUGCAUCACUACCAGAUGGACCUGCGUUGUAUUAGCUAGUUGGUGGGGUAACGGCUCACCAAGGCGACGAUACAUAGCCGACCUGAGAGGGUGGUCGGCCACACUGGGACUGAGACACGGCCCAGACGCCUACGGGAGGCAGCAGUAGGGAAUCUUCGGCGAUGGACGGAAGUCUGACCGAGCAACGCCGCGUGAGUGAAGAAGGUUUUCGGAUCGUAAAGCUCUGUUGUAAGAGAAGAACGAGUGUGAGAGUGGAAAGUUCACACUGUGACGAUAUCUUACCAGAAAGGGACGGCUAACUACGUG